RNAcentral lists this transfer RNA (73 nucleotides) under Bos taurus (domestic cattle). It matches the Rfam family "tRNA". From Rfam's summary of the family: Transfer RNA (tRNA) molecules are approximately 80 nucleotides in length. Lineage: Eukaryota; Metazoa; Chordata; Mammalia; Artiodactyla; Bovidae. The record is from Rfam by way of RNAcentral.
UACCUGAUGGUCCAGUGGUUAAGACUCUGUACUUCUAGUACAGGGGGCUUGGGUUCAAUACCUGGUCAGUGAA